CACAUGAUCGUAAAGGCUUUGCUUGGUAUAAACACUAAAUAAAACAAAGUUAUAAUAGUAGCAUAAUUGUGACAACACUCAAGAACAGAAAACAAAAAUAAAAAUAAAUUUUAUCCAUUGGGUUGCCUCCCAACAAGCGCUAUCGUUUUACGCCCCUAGCUAGGCAUAUAGGAUAAAUUUUGAGUGAUGUCCUCCUUAGUGAUUGAUCCAUAGGUUGACCUCAUGAUUGAUGCAUAUAGUAAUUUAAUUUUAGUUCUAGGGAAGUGUUACAUGCCCUUUCUUAGUGGAAACUGAAAUUUAAUAUACCCUUCUUUCAUAUCAAUCACAGCUCGUAUAGUACGCAAGAACGGUAUGCAAAAUUAUUGGACAAGACGGAUUGCACUCAAUAUCAAGAACAAUAAAAUCUAUGGGAGCAUAAUUCCUAUUUUCAAGAAUAAGAACAUCAUUAAUUCUUCCCGCAUGUUUUUCAAUAGUAGAAUCCGCCAAGUGCAAAUUGAGAGAACACUCUUCAAUAUCGGUAAGACCAACAUCACAAAGAGAUUUCGGAAUUGUGGAAACACUAGCACCCAAAUCACAUAAAGCAUAGAACACAAUUUUUUAAUUUUUAUCUUAAUGGUGGGUUCCCAUUCAUCAUGUAAUUUCCUAGGAAUUGAAAUCUCUUGUUCUAACUUUUCUUCCAAAGUUUUAAUCACUGCUUCCGAACUAUAUUUAGUAAAAGCUUUAUUUUGUUCAUAGGCAUUGGGUGAAUUUAUC
This 753-nucleotide long non-coding RNA is filed under the name Hordeum vulgare. RNAcentral's name for it is "long non-coding RNA (HVUL_LNC015700)". Lineage: Eukaryota; Viridiplantae; Streptophyta; Magnoliopsida; Poales; Poaceae. The record is from RNAcentral.